Molecule: transfer RNA, 74 nt
Filed under: Gammaproteobacteria bacterium
Lineage: Bacteria; Pseudomonadati; Pseudomonadota; Gammaproteobacteria
Also listed under: 4 other names
Description: tRNA-Gly
Rfam family: tRNA
About the family: Transfer RNA (tRNA) molecules are approximately 80 nucleotides in length.
Source: RNAcentral
GCGGGUGUAGUUCAAUGGUAGAACUUCAGCCUUCCAAGCUGAUAACGUGGGUUCGAUUCCCAUCACCCGCUCCA